GAUGAACGCUGGCGGCGUGCCUAAUACAUGCAAUCCGAGCGAACAGACGAGGAGCUUGCUCCUCUGACGUUAGCGGCGGACGGGUGAGUAACACGUGGAUAACCUACUUAUAAGCCGGGGAUAACUUCGGGAAACCGGAGCUAAUACCGGAUAAUAUAUUAAACCGCAUGGUUCAAUAGUGAAAGACGGUUUUGCUGUCACUUAUAGAGGGAUCCGCGCCGCAUUAGCUAGUUGGUAAGGUAACGGCUUACCAAGGCGACGAUGCGUAGCCGACCUGAGAGGGUGAUCGGCCACACUGGAACUGAGACACGGUCCAGACUCCUACGGGAGGCAGCAGUAGGGAAUCUUCCGCAAUGGGCGAAAGCCUGACGGAGCAACGCCGCGUGAGUGAUGAAGGUCUUCGGAUCGUAAAACUCUGUUAUUAGGGAAGAACAAAUGUGUAAGUAACUAUGCACGUCUUGACGGUACCUAAUCAGAAAGCCACGGCUAACUACGUG
This 497-nucleotide ribosomal RNA is filed under the name uncultured bacterium. RNAcentral describes it as "partial 16S ribosomal RNA". It matches the Rfam family "Bacterial small subunit ribosomal RNA", at positions 28 to 507 of the family's 1533-position model. The record is from RNAcentral.